CUCGGGGAUAGCCUUUCGAAAGAAAGAUUAAUACCCGAUGGCAUAGUUCUUCCGCAUGGUAGAACUAUUAAAGGAUUUCGGUCAUCGAUGGGGAUGCGUUCCAUUAGGUUGUUGGCGGGGUAACGGCCCACCAAGCCUUCGAUGGAUAGGGGUUCUGAGAGGAAGGUCCCCCACAUUGGAACUGAGACACGGUCCAAACUCCUACGGGAGGCAGCAUG
Molecule: ribosomal RNA, 218 nt
Filed under: uncultured bacterium
Lineage: Bacteria
Description: partial 16S ribosomal RNA
Rfam family: Bacterial small subunit ribosomal RNA
Source: RNAcentral